AGAUGGCAAUGUGCUUCCUGCGAGAAUGAGAGGAAAACCAGAAACUAGGGGACAUGUGGCUGAGAGAAGAGGGACCAAGAACAUUGGGAAGAAAGCAAAUGACCAGAAUUCCAUUUAAAUUAAUGGAUGAUGCAGAGGACUGAGAGCCAGAAGCUCCAAAGCUCCUAUUCAGACAGUGACAGCAAUCUCCUCCUUGGAACUGAGGUUGAGUGUUCCAAGCCUUCUCAGGACUAGGUGUGCUAGAGUUCUUGACUUACCAAUUCCAAUGCCCACCUCCCUGUUCUCUGACAUUAUCCAAAGAAAAAGUUGGAAGAUGAACAUACCCAAUCCAGCCAGCGUCCUUGCUCACAAAGAACGGCAUGCAGCAGCGAGUUCUUUGUGCACUUCCAAAUGAGCUACAUGGACCAGCUAGGGGAAGGGGAGAAAUCUUACCGUAUGGGUGACUUGGCUGGUUUGAAGCAAUAACAAUAAAAUCCUCCACAUUCAUCAGGCCCAAGAGUUUAAUUUUUAAAGUACCAAAGUGCCCACUGGGAAAUGGUCCAGGCAUCUAGUGAAAGCACGGACUGUGCCAUGCAGAGAGCAGGCUUCAGAUCUGUCUUUAACCCAGCUGGCAAAGAAGGGGAGUGAUGCAGAAAUGGAGGCGGGGAGGCUCAUGUAAUAGGGGAGGGAAGCCCUCCUGCUAGCCCAGCAGUGCUGUGAUGAGAGCUGCACUCAGAAGGGGGAAAUGGGGAAUAUCUUGCAAGACAACUCCGACCUGAA
Long non-coding RNA from Chelonia mydas (Green sea turtle), 759 nucleotides. RefSeq lists it as uncharacterized. NCBI's taxonomy places the organism in Eukaryota, Metazoa, Chordata, Testudines, Cheloniidae. The record is from RefSeq and is a predicted model, not a curated record. The transcript is spliced from 3 exons.